AACGAACGCUGGCGGCAUGCCUAACACAUGCAAGUCGAACGAGACCUUCGGGUCUAGUUGCGCACGGGUGCGUAACGCGUGGGAACCUUCCCUUAGGUUCGGAAUAACUCCCCGAAAGGGGUGCUAAUACCGGAUAAUGUCGUCGGACCAAAGAUUUAUCGCCUUUGGAUGGGCCCGCGUUGGAUUAGCUAGUUGGUAGGGUAAAAGCCUACCAAGGCGACGAUCCAUAGCUGGUCUGAGAGGAUGAUCAGCCACACUGGGACUGAGACACGGCCCAGACUCAUACGGGAGGCAGCAGUGGGGAAUAUUGGACAAUGGGCGAAAGUCUGAUCCAGCAAUGCCGCGUGAGUGAUGAAGGCCUUAGGGUUGUAAAGCUCUUUUAGCCGGGAUGAUAAUGACAGUACCGGGAGAAUAAGCCCCGGCUAACUCCGUG
Molecule: ribosomal RNA, 433 nt
Filed under: uncultured bacterium
Lineage: Bacteria
Description: partial 16S ribosomal RNA
Rfam family: Bacterial small subunit ribosomal RNA
Source: RNAcentral